Molecule: ribosomal RNA, 385 nt
Filed under: uncultured bacterium
Lineage: Bacteria
Description: bacterial SSU rRNA
Rfam family: Bacterial small subunit ribosomal RNA
Source: RNAcentral
AUUGAACGCUGGCGGCAGGCCUAACACAUGCAAGUCGAGCGGUAGAGAGGUGCUUGCAUCUCUUGAGAGCGGCGGACGGGUGAGUAAUGCCUAGGAAUCUGCCCUAGUGGUGGGGGAUAACGUUCGGAAACGGACGCUAAUACCGCAUACGUCCUACGGGAGAAAGCGGGGGAUCUUCGGACCUCGCGCCAUUAGAUGAGCCUAGGUCGGAUUAGCUAGUUGGUGAGGUAAUGGCUCACCAAGGCGACGAUCCGUAACUGGUCUGAGAGGAUGAUCAGUCACACUGGAACUGAGACACGGUCCAGACUCCUACGGGAGGCAGCAGUGGGGAAUAUUGGACAAUGGGCGAAAGACCUGAUCAGCCAUGCGCGUGUGUGAAGAAGGU